Molecule: RNA transcript, 2386 nt
Organism: Oncorhynchus gorbuscha (pink salmon)
Lineage: Eukaryota; Metazoa; Chordata; Actinopteri; Salmoniformes; Salmonidae
Gene name: calpain-2 catalytic subunit-like
Exons: 6
Source: RefSeq, a predicted model, not a curated record
AGAACAGAGAUUACAGUAGAACAGAGAUUACAGGGUGUGUAGAGGACAGUAGAAUAGAGAUUACAGGGUGUGUAGAAUACAGUAGAACAGAGAUUACAGUAGAACAGACAUUACAGGGUGUGUAGAGGACUGCAGAACAGAGAUUACAGUAGAACAGAGAUUACAGUAGAACAGACAUUACAGGGUGUGUAGAGUACAGUAGAACAGAGAUUACAGUAGAACAGAGAUUACAGGGUGUGUAGAGGACUGCAGAACAGAGAUUACAGUAGAACAGAGAUUACAUGGUGUGUAGAGGACAGUAGAAUAGAGAUUACAGGGUGUGUAGAAUACAGUAGAACAGAGAUUACAGGGUGUGUAGAAUACAGUAGAACAGAGAUUACAGUAGAACAGAGAUUACAGGGUGUGUAGAGGACAGUAGAAUAGAGAUUACAGGGUGUGUAGAAUACAGUAGAACAGAGAUUACAGUAGAACAGACAUUACAGGGUGUGUAGAGGACUGCAGAACAGAGAUUACAGUAGAACAGAGAUUACAGUAGAACAGACAUUACAGGGUGUGUAGAGUACAGUAGAACAGAGAUUACAGUAGAACAGAGAUUACAGGGUGUGUAGAGGACAGUAGAAUAGAGAUUACAGGGUGUGUAGAAUACAGUAGAACAGAGAUUACAGGGUGUGUAGAAUACAGUAGAACAGAGAUUACAGUAGAACAGAGAUUACAGGGUGUGUAGAGGACUGCAGAACAGAGAUUACAGUAGAACAGAGAUUACAUGGUGUGUAGAGGACAGUAGAAUAGAGAUUACAGGGUGUGUAGAAUACAGUAGAACAGAGAUUACAGGGUGUGUAGAAUACAGUAGAACAGAGAUUACAGUAGAACAGAGAUUACAGGGUGUGUAGAGGACUGCAGAACAGAGAUUACAGUAGAACAGAGAUUACAGGGUGUGUAGAGGACUGCAGAACAGAGAUUACAGUAGAACAGAGAUUACAGGGUGUGUAGAGGACUGCAGACACUCAUACUGAUGAUUCAUGUGUGCUUCUCUUUCAAUGGACCUUAUUCAUGCGGCGGCCUUGACUGUUUGGAAACAAUAAACACGGGAUAGGAAAUCCCAGAGGGUAAAUACCAUACGUAGCCACCCUCUAAAGCCACUCCCAACAGAAUGUAUGAUGAAGAAAUCCACGAGAUCACUAAAAGAGGGGUGUAAGAGAGAUAUCAAGGGAGAGGCUCUGAGUGUGAACAGAGAGGCGUGUUUCCUCAUUUGAGGCUUCCUAUUUGUCCACGUCCCUUCAUGGCUGUUUACAGUAUUUGAGUCACCAGCAAUAUAAUAGGAUGCCUCUUAUGGUGUAGAGUAGUAUGUCGAUAAACAUCACAGGGUGGGGCUGGCGAGGAAGCCUGCGUUUUCCCUGCAGGAUAUAGGCUCGUCUGCUGGUUGAGAUGUAUCCUGUACAGGGGAUGGCCUACCAGCAGAAGAAACCCCUGACAGAAUCACCCACCAACCAAGGUCCAAGCGGCGUGGUAAAAGACAGCUACGAAAGCAGCAGCAGCAGCAACAACAGCGGCCAGCAUCACAGGAGGAAUGGACAUGGGAGGACAUAUUGAAUGGAGAGGGACCCUGGGUACAGGCUGGGGAAUAUCGCCGGCCUCAAAGCAGAGCUGGAGGCAGCGAUAUGAGGCAGCGCGACAGCUCCUCAGAGUGGCACCAUGUCAGUGAUGAAGAUCGGGCCAGACUGAUCAACAAAUCUGAAGAUGGAGAGUUCUGGUAAAAUGGACCGACGUGUACUCCCAAUAUACCUUUACAUGAACUAUCAUAAGGAGACCUAUUUUAGUCAUGUUGUCAUGUUUUAAUGGAUGUCGUUCUCAGACUUCCUCAGUCAGUACUCUCGUCUGGAGUUCUGUAACCUUACCCCAGACACCCUCUCAGAAGAUGAGAACCAGAAUUGGGCUCUUAACAAGUUUGAAGGCGCCUGGAGGGAAAGGUUCCACAGCCGGGGGCUGCCGCAACUUCCCCAUUUCAUUCUGGCAGAACCCCCAGUUUGUGAUCAAGCUGGAUGAACCUUCCUCGUUGGACUGAUCCAGAAGAACAGACGCAGAAUGAGGAAGACAGGAGAGGACAUGCAGACCAUUGGAUCUAUGAGUGGCUGAAUGUGUCUCUGCUCCAGAAGAAGGAUUCUACAUAUUGAGGAAGUUUUACUGAACACUCACACAUUCACUUUGAUAAUAAAAACAUAAGUGAUGUUUUCAUUUCCAGUUUGAUUCUGAUCCACAACAGCAAAGCCCUGACAUUUGGAACGUUUUAAAGCUAAUGGAAAACAGGUCUAGUUUGCGGACAAGACUUUAAUGCUCCGAUGACGCUGUAGGAUUACAUUUACAUGCGAGUCAUUUAACAGACUCUCUG